This 513-nucleotide long non-coding RNA is filed under the name Nicotiana benthamiana. Its description in RNAcentral is "long non-coding RNA (NBEN_LNC039886)". Lineage: Eukaryota; Viridiplantae; Streptophyta; Magnoliopsida; Solanales; Solanaceae. The record is from RNAcentral.
UUUAUUCCACCAAAGGUCUUUUCCACACCUAAGUUUGAAAAAUAAAGAAUUAUUUUAAAUUGAAGAUAUGGCCACAAAAUUUGUGCGGACUGCGGAGUACCAUGUUUAUGAUAUAAGUCAUGACACCCACGGCAAGAAAUUGAGAGGCUAAUUGAAUAAAGAGUGGCCACGCCAUAAAAUAAAAUCUCUCGAAAGUAGCCAAAAAUAUUCUCGUAGAAAAAUCAAACAGCAAUUUGUGAAAGAGUGGUCGACUGAAUUAUCCAUCGAGGAAAAAGCCACUUACCCUAUUCCUAAACCACAUCCACUCCCUCUAAACUACCCCUCUUUGUUCUUUCCAUCUUUCCCUCCACUCCAAUAUCUUUCCUCUUUCAACUUGUCAGGUACUUUCUUUUCCUUUACUCUGCUUCCUUACUUAGCUCUUAACUUUAAAUUUGUAUUAUUUUCUGAUCGAAAUCUGUUUGUUAUAAUGCCUCAGUGAAUUUACUGCUCCUUCACCUGUAGUUUUGUAAACCC